Molecule: ribosomal RNA, 1064 nt
Filed under: Salmonella enterica subsp. enterica serovar Enteritidis
Lineage: Bacteria; Pseudomonadati; Pseudomonadota; Gammaproteobacteria; Enterobacterales; Enterobacteriaceae
Description: partial 23S ribosomal RNA
Rfam family: Bacterial large subunit ribosomal RNA
Source: RNAcentral
GAAACCCAGUGUGACUCGUCACACUAUCAUUAACUGAAUCCAUAGGUUAAUGAGGCGAACCGGGGGAACUGAAACAUCUAAGUACCCCGAGGAAAAGAAAUCAACCGAGAUUCCCCCAGUAGCGGCGAGCGAACGGGGAGGAGCCCAGAGCCUGAAUCAGCAUGUGUGUUAGUGGAAGCGUCUGGAAAGGCGCGCGAUACAGGGUGACAGCCCCGUACACAAAAGCGCAUGUGCUGUGAGCUCGAUGAGUAGGGCGGGACACGUGGUAUCCUGUCUGAAUAUGGGGGGACCAUCCUCCAAGGCUAAAUACUCCUGACUGACCGAUAGUGAACCAGUACCGUGAGGGAAAGGCGAAAAGAACCCCGGCGAGGGGAGUGAAAAAGAACCUGAAACCGUGUACGUACAAGCAGUGGGAGCACCCUUUGGGUGUGACUGCGUACCUUUUGUAUAAUGGGUCAGCGACUUAUAUUCUGUAGCAAGGUUAACCGAAUAGGGGAGCCGGAGGGAAACCGAGUCUUAACCGGGCGUUAAGUUGCAGGGUAUAGACCCGAAACCCGGUGAUCUAGCCAUGGGCAGGUUGAAGGUUGGGUAACACUAACUGGAGGACCGAACCGACUAAUGUUGAAAAAUUAGCGGAUGACCUGUGGCUGGGGGUGAAAGGCCAAUCAAACCGGGAGAUAGCUGGUUCUCCCCGAAAGCUAUUUAGGUAGCGCCUCGUGAAUUCAUCUCCGGGGGUAGAGCACUGUUUCGGCUAGGGGGCCAUCCCGGCUUACCAACCCGAUGCAAACUGCGAAUACCGGAGAAUGUUAUCACGGGAGACACACGGCGGGUGCUAACGUCCGUCGUGAAGAGGGAAACAACCCAGACCGCCAGCUAAGGUCCCAAAGUCAUGGUUAAGUGGGAAACGAUGUGGGAAGGCCCAGACAGCCAGGAUGUUGGCUUAGAAGCAGCCAUCAUUUAAAGAAAGCGUAAUAGCUCACUGGUCGAGUCGGCCUGCGCGGAAGAUGUAACGGGGCUAAACCAUGCACCGAAGCUGCGGCAGCGACACUGUGUGUUGUUGGGUA